ACAUGCAAGUCGAGCGCGAAUGGAGCAAUCCUAGUACAGCGGCGCACGGGUGCGUAACACGUGGAUAAUCUGCCUGGGAGACCGGAAUAACCUGCCGAAAGGCAAGCUAAUACCGGAUAAGCCCACAGGGACUUCGGUCCUCCAGGGAAAAGGUGGCCUCUGUAUACAAGCUAUCACUUCCAGAUGAGUCCGCGGCCCAUCAGCUAGUUGGAGGGGUAAUGGCCCACCAAGGCUACGACGGGUA
Molecule: ribosomal RNA, 244 nt
Filed under: uncultured bacterium
Lineage: Bacteria
Description: partial 16S ribosomal RNA
Rfam family: Bacterial small subunit ribosomal RNA
Source: RNAcentral